Long non-coding RNA from Dicentrarchus labrax (European seabass), 560 nucleotides. RefSeq lists it as uncharacterized. The transcript is spliced from 3 exons. The record is from RefSeq and is a predicted model, not a curated record. Lineage: Eukaryota; Metazoa; Chordata; Actinopteri; Moronidae.
AUUUUUACCAGUUGCUGGGUUUCUUGAGGCUGAGUCGUCCACAAACAGUUCCAGAUCGGCAUUUUCUCAAGUUUUGUUCAGAGACUUGAUCUCAGUUUUCUGCUCUCUGGUUGGAGGAUCAGAAGGACACAGAGACCUCCAUCAUGGCUAUCGCUGACCAGCUGCUGGAGCUGAUGUUCUCCUGGAUUGAGCAGAGGGAAUUUUAAAAAAAUUAAAUAUUUGUUUGAUAAAGGAGCCAAACAUCUGAUCAAACAAAUGUCCAAAACUGGAUUUAAAGGAGGAGACAUGGUGACCUGAUGAAGCUCAGGUGUUCCUGGACCCAUCAGAGGACAGAGACAGCUGCAGCAUCAGGACAGUCUGGGUAUCCAAAGGAAGACUGAUGAAGAUGAACACUGACUGCAGAGCUCCAUUACCAGCUCACACUUCAAUAUACUAGAAACCAUAAACCUUGAUGGAGGACAUGAUCUGCACAGUUUACAUAAAAGUUCUAGCUUUGUUACUUACAACAUGUGUAACUGGAAUAUGAAUGAAAUAUAAAUAAAGUUUUUUACUUUUAAGAA